RNAcentral lists this transfer RNA (89 nucleotides) under Bacillota bacterium. RNAcentral describes it as "Firmicutes bacterium (hot springs metagenome) tRNA-Ser". It matches the Rfam family "tRNA". From Rfam's summary of the family: Transfer RNA (tRNA) molecules are approximately 80 nucleotides in length. Their secondary structure includes four short double-helical elements and three loops (D, anti-codon, and T loops). Lineage: Bacteria; Bacillati; Bacillota. The record is from RNAcentral.
GGAGGGAUGGCCGAGCGGACGAAGGCAGCAGUCUUGAAAACUGCAGUGCCUCCCAAGAGGCACCGGGGGUUCGAAUCCCUCUCCCUCCG